Molecule: ribosomal RNA, 253 nt
Filed under: uncultured bacterium
Lineage: Bacteria
Description: partial 16S ribosomal RNA
Rfam family: Bacterial small subunit ribosomal RNA
Source: RNAcentral
UACGGAGGGUGCAAGCGUUAUCCGGAUUUACUGGGUUUAAAGGGUGCGUAGGCGGGUUCUUAAGUCAGAGGUGAAAUCCUGGAGCUCAACUCCAGAACUGCCUUUGAUACUGAGAGUCUUGAGUUCGGGAGAGGUGAGUGGAACUGCGAGUGUAGAGGUGAAAUUCGUAGAUAUUCGCAAGAACACCAAUGGCGAAGGCAGCUCACUGGGACGGUAUUGACGCUGAGACGCGAAAGCGUGGGGAGCAAACAGG